RNAcentral lists this ribosomal RNA (497 nucleotides) under uncultured bacterium. Its description in RNAcentral is "partial 16S ribosomal RNA". It matches the Rfam family "Bacterial small subunit ribosomal RNA", at positions 28 to 507 of the family's 1533-position model. The record is from RNAcentral.
GAUGAACGCUGGCGGCGUGCCUAAUACAUGCAAGUCGAGCGAACAGACGAGAAGCUUGCUUCUCUGAUGUUAGCGGCGGACGGGUGAGUAACACGUGGAUAACCUACCUAUAAGUCUGGGAUAACUUCGGGAAACCGGAUCUAAUACCGGAGGAUAUUUUGAACCGCAUGGUUCAAAAGUGAAAGACGGUCUUGCUGUCACUUAUAGAUGGAUCCGCGCUGCAUUAGCUAGUUGGUAAGGUAACGGCUUACCAAGGCAACGAUGCAUAGCCGAACUGAGAGGGUGAUCGGCCACACUGGGACUGAGACAGGGUCCAGACUCCUACGGGAGGGAGCCGUAGGGAAUCUUCCGCAAUGGGCGAAAGCCUGACGGAGCAACGCCGAGUGAGUGAUGAAGGUCUUCGGAUCGUAAAACUCUGUUAUUAGGGAAGAACAUAUGUGUAAGUAACUGUGCACAUCUUGAAGGUACCUAAUCAGAAAGCCACGGCUAACUACGUG